CACUUUUUCAAUUAGAUGGUAGUCAAGUUAUUGGUUACCUUUCAAGCAGGAAGUUUUACAUCCAAUCAGAGUAAUGAUGUCAACACAUAAAUCAGACGACAUACAGGCAAUUUAGUGACAACCCUACUGUUGUGGUCUUGA
Molecule: long non-coding RNA, 141 nt
Organism: Etheostoma cragini (Arkansas darter)
Lineage: Eukaryota; Metazoa; Chordata; Actinopteri; Perciformes; Percidae
Exons: 3
Source: RefSeq, a predicted model, not a curated record